GCUUAACACAUGCAAGUUGAACGAGGAUUAUUUCAAUGAAGCUUCGGUAGAUUUGAUUUAAUCCUAGUGGCGGACGGGUGAGUAACGCGUGGGUAACCUGCCUUAUACAGGGGGAUAACAGUCAGAAAUGGCUGCUAAUACCGCAUAAGCGCACAGGGCCGCAUGGCCCGGUGUGAAAAACUGGGGUGGUAUAAGAUGGACCCGCGUUGGAUUAGCCAGUUGGCAGGGUAACGGCCUACCAAAGCGACGAUCCAUAGCCGGCCUGAGAGGGUGAACGGCCACAUUGGGACUGAGACACGGCCCAGACUCCUACGGGAGGCAGCAGUGGGGAAUAUUGCACAAUGGGGGAAACCCUGAUGCAGCGACGCCGCGUGAAGGAAGAAGUAUCUCGGUAUGUAAACUUCUAUCAGCAGGGAAGAAAAUGACGGUACCUGACUAAGAAGCCCCGGCUAACUACGUGCCAGCAGCCGCGGUAAUACGUAGGGGGCAAGCGUUAUCCGGAUUUACUGGGUGUAAAGGGAGCGUAGACGGCAUAACAAGUCUGAUGUGAAAGGCUGGGGCUUAACCCCGGGACUGCAUUGGAAACUGUUAAGCUUGAGUGCCGGAGGGGUAAGCGGAAUUCCUAGUGUAGCGGUGAAAUGCGUAGAUAUUAGGAGGAACACCAGUGGCGAAGGC
RNAcentral lists this ribosomal RNA (675 nucleotides) under uncultured Lachnospiraceae bacterium. Its description in RNAcentral is "bacterial SSU rRNA". It matches the Rfam family "Bacterial small subunit ribosomal RNA", at positions 46 to 722 of the family's 1533-position model. Lineage: Bacteria; Bacillati; Bacillota; Clostridia; Lachnospirales; Lachnospiraceae. The record is from RNAcentral.